UCCACGCCCUAAACGAUGAACACUGGUCGUCGGGAUGCUAGUCAUCUCGGUGAUGCACUUAACAGAUUAAGUGUUCCGCCUGGGGAGUACGGUCGCAAGAUUAAAACUCAAAGGAAUUGACGGGGGCCCGCACAAGCGGUGGAGCAUGUGGUUUAAUUCGAUGCAACGCGAAAAACCUUACCUGGGCUUGACAUCCCUCUGAUCGCUUUUAGAGAUAAGAGCUUCUCUUCGGA
Molecule: ribosomal RNA, 233 nt
Filed under: uncultured bacterium
Lineage: Bacteria
Description: partial 16S ribosomal RNA
Rfam family: Bacterial small subunit ribosomal RNA
Source: RNAcentral